UGGGGAAUAUUGGACAAUGGGCGCAAGCCUGAUCCAGCCAUGCCGCGUGAGUGAUGAAGGCCCUAGGGUUGUAAAGCUCUUUCACCGGUGAAGAUAAUGACGGUAACCGGAGAAGAAGCCCCGGCUAACUUCGUGCCAGCAGCCGCGGUAAUACGAAGGGGGCUAGCGUUGUUCGGAUUUACUGGGCGUAAAGCGCACGUAGGCGGACUAUUAAGUCAGGGGUGAAAUCCCGGGGCUCAACCCCGGAACAGCCUUUGAUACUGGUAGUCUUGAGUUCGAGAGAGGUGGGUGAAAUUCCGAGUGUAUAGGUGAAAUUCGUAGAUAUUCGGAGGAAAACCAGUGGCGAAGGCGGCUCACUGGCUCGAUACUGACGCUGAGGUGCGAAAGCGUGGGGCGCAAACAGG
This 404-nucleotide ribosomal RNA is filed under the name Actinomycetes bacterium. RNAcentral's name for it is "Actinobacteria bacterium partial 16S ribosomal RNA". It matches the Rfam family "Bacterial small subunit ribosomal RNA", at positions 355 to 776 of the family's 1533-position model. The record is from RNAcentral. Lineage: Bacteria; Bacillati; Actinomycetota; Actinomycetes.